UACGGAAGGCAGCAGUGGGGAAUAUUGCACAAUGGGCGCAAGCCUGAUGCAGCCAUGCCGCGUGUAUGAAGAAGGCCUUCGGGUUGUAAAGUACUUUCAGUCGUGAGGAAGGUGUUAAGGUUAAUAACCUUAGCAAUUGACGUUAGCGACAGAAGAAGCACCGGCUAACUCCGUGCCAGCAGCCGCGGUAAUACGGAGGGUGCGAGCGUUAAUCGGAAUUACUGGGCGUAAAGGGCACGCAGGCGGUUAAUUAAGUUGGAUGUGAAAUCCCCGGGCUUAACCUGGGAAUGGCAUUCAAGACUGGUUAGCUAGAGUCUUGUAGAGGGGGUAGAAUUCCAUGUGUAGCGGUGAAAUGCGUAGAGAUGUGGAGGAAUACCGGUGGCGAAGGCGGCCCCUGGACAAAGACUGACGCUCAUGUGCGAAAGCGUGGGGAGCAAACAGGAUUAGAUAC
Molecule: ribosomal RNA, 451 nt
Filed under: uncultured bacterium
Lineage: Bacteria
Description: bacterial SSU rRNA
Rfam family: Bacterial small subunit ribosomal RNA
Source: RNAcentral